GAAAUGCGAUAAGUAAUGUGAAUUGCAGAAUUCAGUGAAUCAUCGAAUCUUUGAACGCACCUUGCGCUCCUUGGUAUUCCUUGGAGCAUGCCUGUUUGAGUAUCAUGAAAUCUUCAAAGUAAAUCUUUUGUUAACUCAAUUGGUUUCUACUUUGGUAUUGGAGGUCUUUGCAGCUUCACACCUGCUCCUCUUUGUUCAUUGGCUGGAUCUCAGUGUUAUGCUUGGUUCCACUCGGCGUGAUAAGUUAUCUAUCGCUGAGGACACUGUAAAAGGUGGCCAAGGUAAAUGCAGAUGAACCGCUUCUAAUAGUCCAUUGACUUGAACAAUACUUUUAUGAUCUGAUCUCAAAUCAGGUAGGACUACCCGCUGAACUUAAGC
RNAcentral lists this unclassified non-coding RNA (378 nucleotides) under plant metagenome. RNAcentral's name for it is "partial contains 5.8S ribosomal RNA, internal transcribed spacer 2, and large subunit ribosomal RNA". The stretch from base 1 to 105 matches the Rfam family "5.8S ribosomal RNA", at positions 50 to 154 of the family's 154-position model. The record is from RNAcentral.